This 253-nucleotide ribosomal RNA is filed under the name uncultured bacterium. Its description in RNAcentral is "partial 16S ribosomal RNA". It matches the Rfam family "Bacterial small subunit ribosomal RNA", at positions 524 to 776 of the family's 1533-position model. The record is from RNAcentral.
UACGAAGGGGGCUAGCGUUGUUCGGAAUCACUGGGCGUAAAGGGCGCGUAGGCGGCUUUAUAAGUCGGGGGUGAAAGCCUGUGGCUCAACCACAGAAUUGCCUUCGAUACUGUAGAGCUUGAGACCGGAAGAGGUAAGUGGAACUGCGAGUGUAGAGGUGAAAUUCGUAGAUAUUCGCAAGAACACCAAUGGCGAAGGCAGCUCGCUGGGACGUGACUGACGCUCAUGCACGAAAGCGUGGGGAGCAAACAGG